Molecule: ribosomal RNA, 186 nt
Filed under: uncultured Bacteroidota bacterium
Lineage: Bacteria; Pseudomonadati; Bacteroidota
Description: uncultured Bacteroidetes bacterium partial 16S ribosomal RNA
Rfam family: Bacterial small subunit ribosomal RNA
Source: RNAcentral
UGCAACCUACCUUAAUCAGGGGGAUAGCCCGAAGAAAUUCGGAUUAACACCGCAUAAAAACACAGGGUAGCAUUACCUAAUGUUCAAAUAUUUAUAGGAUUAAGAUGGGCAUGCGUGUCAUUAGUUAGUUGGCGGGGUAACGGCCCACCAAGACCACGAUGACUAGGGGAUCUGAGAGGAUGACCC